Molecule: non-coding RNA, 2776 nt
Organism: Peromyscus maniculatus bairdii (prairie deer mouse)
Lineage: Eukaryota; Metazoa; Chordata; Mammalia; Rodentia; Cricetidae
Source: RefSeq, a predicted model, not a curated record
CUGAGGAAGUGGCAAGCCAUAUGACACCCACGAUGCCCAUGACCGUGCCUUUUGACCCAGUCAGUUGUGGACGGCAAAGCAGUUGGACUAUUUCCAGUUGUGGCCACGAACGGUGCCAGCGGCGUUGCGUGUGUGGAAGUGUGCUUAUAGGAAAAUGGGAAACACUCAGAAGUAGGGGUACUUGGCCAAAAGGCAGACGCUUCUGGGAUCGGGAUGGACUUGGCCAAAUUUCCUUCUGUUCAGGUUUCGACAAGUGUAAUUCUAAAAUGAGAUUUGAGGGAUCAUGUUUUCCUAUAGCCAUGUUCUUGAAUGUCCCACAGGCUACGUGACUUCGUCCCAAAUUAGAAACUGUCACCCAGCAGGGAACAUUCUUGGCUUAUCUGAUUCUCAGAACCAGCCCUGGCUCCCUAGAGUUGCCAGAGCAGGCUAAUACAGUUACCGUUUAUUCAACAGAAUCACAACCAUGUACUUUAAAAACAAACAAACAAAAACCUCAUACAUACGUGAUCAUUAACACUAAGAACUUACAUGUUCUGUCUUUCCUCACUGCUGAAUAGUUCUCUGUUGAAUUUCCCAACAAUCCAGUGGCUACCGAGCAGGGAUGCUUCCCACUUUUGUUAUUAUGCUGAAGACUGAAUCUAGGGCCCUGUACUUGAGAGGCAGGCAUCUACCGCAGAUUCUACCUCAGAGCUGUUACUCCCAGCUAGCGAGGAGGCUGCACUAGCCAAGGUUUGCAUAAGGUUAUUCGCACUAUGGAAGAUCCCUCUGUCAAAAUACACGCUGGGAUGUGCGGGAAGUAGAGGGAUGGCACCAGGGACAUGCUGUCUUUGUGAUCUCAUUUUUCAAACCCUUCUGGCUAAUGAGGCAGGAGGAGUUAAUUGUCCACAUCCGGUAGUGAAAGUGGUCUUGCUAGAAUAAAGGAAAUGAGCCCAUAGGAAACUACACAUUAGGCAGUGUUGUUGAGUUAAUGGAUGAAGGCUUUCUCUAAGGGAGGUGCUUGGCUCACUGGCGUCUGAAUCGUUGAGACACGUGGGUUCUUAGACGGCACUUGAUAAGGAAGGACUUAUUCCAGUUCUCGACCAGUCUCUGUCACGGUGCUUGGUCUGUUUGGCAUAAUUAUUGACAAAAGCGAAGCCAUGUACUAUGCCACGCAGAUCAGUGCUCUGUAGGAAACAUCUGGCUUCUCUUGCUUUGAUUCCCAGAAAAUCUUCCUCCCUUCUUUCCUUCCUUCUUCCCUUCUUUCCUUCUUUCCCUUCCUUCCUUCCUUCCUUCCUUCCCUCCCUGCCUCCCUCCCUCCUUCCUUCCUUCCUCCCUUCCUCCUCCCUCCCUCCCUCUCUCUCUCCCUCUCUCCCUUCUCCCCACCUCCCUGAACUUAUUUUCUGGUGACAAUUUUUCAAGCGUAGAAAAAGGAGGCAGUAAAAAGUGUGCUAGCCCACACAUGUUCCCCACCAGCUUUAGCCGUUAUCGCCGCUCCCGGGAUGCGGAUGUGGCCCAGGGGUAGAACCCUUGCCUAACAUGCCCAGGGCCCUGGGUUUGAUCCUGAGCACCACAAAAAUAAUGAUACAGUAACUACUACCUCACACCCAAUCUUGUUUCUUCUCUGAUCCCAACCGAUACUCCUCCACCUUCUGGAAACCUCGGGCAGUCCAUUUGCAAUGUUCAAGUACUAACACAUUUCCAGUGCUCCUAGAGUUCUUCCUGCUCUGUGGAGAAGCAGAUAAGGGAGGGAGGAGACUGAGGGCUCUAUAGGGGUGUGGGGGGGGAGCAUGUUUUGGAGGAAGGAUGGCCUAGCUGGUGUAUUACCCUGGGAUGUACCAGUGGGGCGGGGGUACAAUUCAGUCUAAGGUUCUUGUGUGCUUAGCCAUAGGUUCUGUCCUGUCUCUUGCAGGGGGUGUCCCUGUUGAGUUGUGUAAGGGACACACAGGAAGGACCUUCCCUGAGACCAUGCACUGACCUUGGAAGACAGUAACUUUAAUGGGAACCCCUCUGAACAUGAUAGUUUUGGUACAAAUGGGUACUUUGUUACAGUUUGAAUAUCAUCCCAGAUUUUUUCUAGUCCAUCACAAUUCGGCUUCUGAAUUUCACCAGGCUCUUGUCCUGAUUCCUCUACCCUAUUCAACACUUAAAUUCCAAAAAGCCCUCAUCCCUUGAAGUCUUCAUUAACCACCCUGAAUUGGAAGAUUGUUUCUUCCUUCUUUUAAAUGCACAUGUGAGCCUGUAUGUGAGUGCAUGUUAAUCCGUGCGUGCAUGCAUGUGGCAUAUGGAUGCCAGAGGACAAGCUCAGAAGUCAUCUUCAAGAUGACCAUAAGACUUGAAGAAACUGAGCUGAAACAGACCUAGAAGUCUCCCUGGGGACCAGCUUUCAUAGGAUUCAAAGGUGCCGUGCAAGCUACCAACGGGGGAAAAGCGACCUACAGUCCUGUUCAGCUGUGAAGCCUGGGAAGCGCGGCCAUGGGUCACCCCCAAGGGUGCAAUAGUGGCACUCGCAUCUCCAGGGUAACCAACAACUCUCCAACCAGACUUAAGACCAACUCUUAGAAUUCCCAGUCACUCCUCCCGGCUACACGACUCAGUGUGCGUUGGCAAGACGCUUAUUCAUCACAUCCUACAUAGUCCGUGUACUGUGUGAUCACAUAAUCCAUGCGUAUGCGUGUUGUAGCUGCAUAAGCCCAUAUGUGCAUGUGCAGGGGGAACCUAUGAAAACAGAUUCCACCUAUUCCUCCCCUCUCUUCCUGCACAGUCAUUCCAUAGGCCUAAGCACAUCUUUCCUAUUCCC